Molecule: non-coding RNA, 29 nt
Filed under: Mus musculus (house mouse)
Lineage: Eukaryota; Metazoa; Chordata; Mammalia; Rodentia; Muridae
Source: RNAcentral
UGACAAGAUUGACUAUUUCAGCUACCUGC